GACGAACGCUGGCGGCGUGCCUAAUACAUGCAAGUAGAACGCUGAAGGAGGAGCUUGCUUCUCUGGAUGAGUUGCGAACGGGUGAGUAACGCGUAGGUAACCUGCCUGGUAGCGGGGGAUAACUAUUGGAAACGAUAGCUAAUACCGCAUAAGAGUAGAUGUUGCAUGACAUUUGCUUAAAAGGUGCAAUUUCCUCACUACCAGAUGGACCUGCGUUGUAUUAGCUAGUUGGUGGGGUAACGGCUCACCAAGGCGACGAUACAUAGCCGACCUGAGAGGGUGAUCGGCCACACUGGGACUGAGACACGGCCCAGACUCCUACGGGAGGCAGCAGUAGGGGAUCUUCGGCAAUGGACGGAAGUCUGACCGAGCAACGCCGCGUGAGUGAAGAAGGUUUUCGGAUCGUAAAGCUCUGUUGUAAGAGAAGAACGAGUGUGAGAGUGGAAAGUUCACACUGUGACGGUAUCUUACCAGAAAGGGACGGCUAACUACGUG
This 495-nucleotide ribosomal RNA is filed under the name uncultured bacterium. Its description in RNAcentral is "partial 16S ribosomal RNA". It matches the Rfam family "Bacterial small subunit ribosomal RNA", at positions 28 to 507 of the family's 1533-position model. The record is from RNAcentral.